This 241-nucleotide unclassified non-coding RNA is filed under the name Hevea brasiliensis (rubber tree). Lineage: Eukaryota; Viridiplantae; Streptophyta; Magnoliopsida; Malpighiales; Euphorbiaceae. The record is from RNAcentral.
AAAAAUUUUUAACUGAUAAUCCAGGCUCCAACAUUUCAAAAUGGUGACUAGAAAGGAAGAAAUCUAAGUAUCAAUUACCAUUCAGUCAAGACAGAAGUCCUGUUUAUCUGAGAUAGUGAUAGACAAUCUACGACAGAAAUGUAGUUCUUUGCAAUUGAUGAUCUCUAAUCAAAUUUUAUGAUCUGUGAUAACUGAUAAGUAGACAUCGUUUACAUCACGUAUCCAAAAUGCACCAUCCUAG